UUGACAUCCAGAGAACUUGGCAGAGAUGCCCUGGUGCCUUCGGGACCUCUGAGACAGGUGCUGCAUGGCUGUCGUCAGCUCGUGUUGUGAAAUGUGGGUUAAGUCCGCAACGAGCGCAACCCCUAUCCUUUGUUGCCAGCGAUUCGGUCGGGAACUCAAAGGAGACUGCCGGUGAUAAACCGGAGGAAGGUGGGGAUGACGUCAAGUCAUCAUGGCCCUUACGAGUAGGGCUACACACGUGCUACAAUGGCGCAUACAAAGAGAAGCGACCUCGCGAGAGCAAGCGGACCUCAUAAAGUGCGUCGUAGUCCGGAUCGGAGUCUGCAACUCGACUCCGUGAAGUCGGAAUCGCUAGUAAUCGUAGAUCAGAAUGCUACGGUGAAUACGUUCCCGGGCCUUGUACACACCGCCCGUCACACCAUGGGAGUGGGUUGCAAAAGAAGUAGAUAGCUUAACCUUCGGGAGGGCGUUUACCACUUUGUGAUUCAUGACUGGGGUGAAGUCGUAACAAGGUAGGCGUAGACGU
This 526-nucleotide ribosomal RNA is filed under the name uncultured bacterium. RNAcentral's name for it is "bacterial SSU rRNA". It matches the Rfam family "Bacterial small subunit ribosomal RNA", at positions 981 to 1509 of the family's 1533-position model. The record is from RNAcentral.